This 199-nucleotide long non-coding RNA is filed under the name Elaeis guineensis (African oil palm). RNAcentral describes it as "long non-coding RNA (EGUI_LNC003788)". Lineage: Eukaryota; Viridiplantae; Streptophyta; Magnoliopsida; Arecales; Arecaceae. The record is from RNAcentral.
UGCCUGCAUCCUAACCUCUGAUCGAACCCAUUCAAGGUAAAUUUCACCUUCACCACCUAUUAUUUUUAAUCUUUUUUCAUAUUCUCUUGCUUAUCAUUCUUCAUUUCUUUUUUUAGUUAUUCUCCAUUCCAAUCCAAAACAUAAUCUUCUUCUCACCUUCUCUAUAGUUUAUUUUUUUCUAUUUUCCUUCCUUUUUCUA